RNAcentral lists this ribosomal RNA (484 nucleotides) under uncultured Rikenellaceae bacterium. RNAcentral describes it as "bacterial SSU rRNA". It matches the Rfam family "Bacterial small subunit ribosomal RNA", at positions 898 to 1382 of the family's 1533-position model. The record is from RNAcentral. Lineage: Bacteria; Pseudomonadati; Bacteroidota; Bacteroidia; Bacteroidales; Rikenellaceae.
AACUUAAAGGAAUUGACGGGGGCCCGCACAAGCGGAGGAACAUGUGGUUUAAUUCGAUGAUACGCGAGGAACCUUACCUGGGCUAGAACGCAUUCGGAAUCAGGCCGAAAGGCCUGCGCCAGCGAUGGCCGCUUGCGAGGUGCUGCAUGGUUGUCGUCAGCUCGUGCCGUGAGGUGUCGGGUUAAGUCCCAUAACGAGCGCAACCCCUACUGCUAGUUGCCAGCGGGUCAUGCCGGGGACUCUAGCGGAACUGCCAGCGUAAGCUGCGAGGAAGGUGGGGAUGACGUCAAAUCAGCACGGCCCUUACGUCCAGGGCUACACACGUGUUACAAUGGCCGGUACAGAGGGCAGCCACCCCGCGAGGGGGCGCGAAUCCCGAAAGCCGGUCCCAGUUCGGAUCGGAGUCUGCAACCCGACUCCGUGAAGCUGGAUUCGCUAGUAAUCGCGCAUCAGCCACGGCGCGGUGAAUACGUUCCCGGGCCUU